Molecule: unclassified non-coding RNA, 326 nt
Filed under: soil metagenome
Description: partial contains 5.8S ribosomal RNA, internal transcribed spacer 2, and large subunit ribosomal RNA
Rfam family: 5.8S ribosomal RNA (bases 1-120)
Source: RNAcentral
GAUGAAGAACGUAGUGAAAUGCGAUAAGUAAUGUGAAUUGCAGAAUUCAGUGAAUCAUCGAAUCUUUGAACGCACAUUGCGCCCCUUGGUAUUCCGAGGGGCAUGCCUGUUCGAGCGUCAUAUUAACCACUCCCGCUUGCGGGGUCUUGGGCUUCGCCUCCGGGCGGGCCUUAAAAUCAGUGGCGGUGCCGUCGGGCUCUACGCGUAGUAAAUUUUCUCGCGAUAGGGUCCCGGUGGAUGCUUGCCAACAACCCACAACUUCUUAAGGUUGACCUCGGAUCAGGUAGGGAUACCCGCUGAACUUAAGCAUAUCAAUAAGCGGAGGA